UAGGCAUAAGAUGUUCAUGGAUAGGCACAAGGAUGCUUGACCAAAGAUGUCUCUGUUGUACUGUAGAGAAGAAAAGCUAAAGACAUUGUCAGGAGUAGUACUGUGAUCUCCGUGAGAGAUCAUUGAUAUCUGCAAGUGUUGAAAAAUAUAUAUACUGUAUUAAAAAUACGUUUUAAGCCUUCAUACCUGUGAACAUUGUAAUAUCAUGGAUAGGCACAAGAUGUUCAUGGAUAGGCACAAGAUGUUCAUGGAUAGGCACAAGAGGUUCAUGGAUAGGCACAAGAGGUUCAUGGAUAGGCACAAGAGGUUCAUGGAUAGGCACAAGAGGUUCAUGGAUAGGCACAAGAGGUUCAUGGAUAGGCACAAGAGGUUCAUGGAUAGGCACAAGAGGUUCAUGGAUAGGCACAAGAUGUUCAUGGAUAGGCACAAGAUGUUCAUGGAUAGGCACAAGAUGUUCAUGGAUAGGCACAAGAGGUUCAUGGAUAGGCACAAGAGGUUCAUGGAUAGGCACAAGAGGUUCAUGGAUAGGCACAAGAUGUUCAUGGAUAGGCACAAGAGGUUCAUGGAUAGGCACAAGAGGUUCAUGGAUAGGCACAAGAGGUUCAUGGAUAGGCACAAGAUGUUCAUGGAUAGGCACAAGAGGUUCAUGGAUAGGCACAAGAUGUUCAUGGAUAGGCACAAGAUGUUCAUGGAUAGGCACAAGAGGUUCAUGGAUAGGCGCAAUUAUGUUCAUGGAUAGGCGCAAUUAUGUUCAUGGAUAGGCUCAAUUAUGUUCAUGGAUAGGCGCAAUUAUGUUCAUGGAUAGGCGCAAUUAUGUUCAUGGAUAGGCGCAAUUAUGUUCAUGGAUAGGCGCAAUUAUGUUCAUGGAUAGGCACAAGAGGUUCAUGAAUAGGCACAAGAGGAUGCUUGAAAAGAUGUCUGUCGUACUGGAGAGAAGAAAAGCUAAAGACAUUGUCAGGAGUAGUACUGUGAUCUCCGUGAGAGAUCAUUGAUAUCUGCAAGUGUUACACUUACAAAUUACUUUAUCAUGAAUGCACUUAACAUGAAAUUAUAUUCUGAUGCUAGGUCAGAAUUACAUUUUAAUUUAGAAAAAUGCAAGUUUAGUAAAGUAUACAUUAUACUUUUUGUUAUAAAUGUGUAAUCUCCAGAUUUUAAAAGGAGAACUAGAUCUCUUUUUAUCCAAAACUGGAUGAUUGAUGAUUGGGAAGGAACAUGCUGAUCGAUCACAAUGGUUCAAUGAUCAUUUUGUAGGUACCACCUGUGUAGCAUCGGGUUGGGUGCUUUUCCCUUUAGAGAGCCCUGAAUACUUUUCGGCAUUGAUUGAACGAGUACUAGAAGUGUUUCCGUAGGGAUCACAAUCUGUACAGAUUUAGUAGCAUCACACAGAAUUGGCUGCCAAACUCUCAUGCUGCGAGCCUCUCCUUACACCUCAUCCCGAAGGAUUCAUGCUGUGUACUCCGAAUUCUGACCCUACCAUGUGUGCCACAGCAGAAAAUGUUUGUUGUCUAGGCAACAUUUCCUGGCCUUCUGUCAUGUAGUUUUGAUGAUCCCAUACCCACUGAAGUUUCAUAUUGUUGACAGGAGUGACAUUCAGAUGGCGUACGAUGUUGAAGCUCGUUCUUUUUAACUUUAAACCGGUUGUGUGUUGUGAGGGGACCUGCUGCGGCCCAAUGUUGUAAAAAGUAGGUGUUUGGACAGUUGUGGACUUCUAUAAGCUUGGACAAGUCUGAUCUCUCUGACUAACAAGAUAUCUUUGUUCACAGAACUGACAAGCAAUGGUUUAUUUUUGUAUUUUUUACGCCGUAAAACUUCGAGACCUUAGUGCAGGAAAAUCCCAGGAACUCAGCAUUUUCUGAGAUGCCACUACCAUCAUCUGGCACUCAGGAUCAUGCGAAGUCCUUUAGAUCAGGAUUUUUUUCAGUAAUUGGUCAAACGUGAAAUUCUUGACCUUGCCUUCAGGUUUUGCAUUGAAUGGCAAUAACUGUAUAUGAUUUACUAUUAAUUGCAUCCCUGCCGCCCACCCCAACAGUCUUUUAAAUAGUUCAGAAUGCCCAGAGGCCGGAAGAAUUGGCGAUCGUGUUACCAUUGUCACAAUGGUCACAUAGUUAGAAGCUGUUCCCGACAGGUACCAAUCUUUAGCCAGGACUGAGGGGUUGAUUUACUAAAA
This is an RNA transcript of Rana temporaria (common frog), 2167 nucleotides long. RefSeq lists it as uncharacterized. Lineage: Eukaryota; Metazoa; Chordata; Amphibia; Anura; Ranidae. The record is from RefSeq and is a predicted model, not a curated record. The transcript is spliced from 2 exons.